UUUUUUUUUUUUUUGGGCGGGAGUUUCUGGCUUCACGUAUCAGCGUCUCUUCUUCACGCGCAGCGAGAGCACCGAGGAGGAGGAGGGAAACAGAAAAUGGCGGACGGUGUCGACCACAUCGAUAUUUACGCCGAUGUAGAAGAGGAAUUUAAUCAGGAGUCAGAUUAUCCUGUUCAUGAGCAGAUUGACCUGUAUGAUGAUGUCAUCUCACCAUCUGCCAACAACGGGGACGCACCUGAGGACCGAGAUUACCUGGACAACCUGCCUGCACCGGGAGGAUCUGAGGGGAACAAAGGAGCUCCGCCGAACGUCGUUUACACCUACACUGGCAAACGAAUCGCUCUGUACAUCGGCAAUCUCACAUGGUGGACCACUGAUGAAGAUUUGACCGAUGCUAUUCGCUCAAUAGGCAUCAAUGAUGUGCUAGAGAUCAAGUUUUUUGAGAAUCGAGCAAAUGGCCAGUCAAAAGGGUUUGCUCUGGUCUGCGUGGGUUCAGACUCCUCGUCCAGGAAGCUGAUGGACCUGCUUUCCAAACGGGAGCUGCACGGACAAAACCCGAUCGUCACUCCUUGCAACAAACAGUCACUCAGCCAGUUUGAGAUGCAGUCGCGAAAAAUUUUUGCCCAAGGCACACAGUCCGGACAAAUGUCCGGAGAAGGGAAAGCUGGACCUCCAGGCUCAGGAUCUCGUAGCGGCUUCCCUCUUGGCAAGAAUCGAGGGCGAUUUCCCACCCCACCUGGCCCAGGAGGAGACCGCUUUCCAGGACCAGUUGGACCUGGUGGACCUCCGCCACACUUCCCAGGUAUGCAAGGCCCGCCGCGUCCUCCCUCAGGCCCACCUGGGCCUCCAGGACCCCCUGGCCCCCCUCCACCUGGACAAGGUCUGCUGCCGCCCCUUGGAGGUCCUCCUAACAGAGGAGACCGUCCUCCUCCACCUGUCAUGUUUCCUGGUCAGUUUGGUCAGCCUCCUAUGGGACCGAUGCCUCCUGGCCCGCCCCCACCUGGAUACGGGCCUCCCCCAGGCCCCCUUCCACCUCAGCAGGGUCCGCCCCCUCCGGGACCCUUCCCUCCCCGUCCACCUGGGCCCUUAGGACCCCCGCUUGGCCUCGCACCUCCACCUCACAUGCAGGGACCUCCACCUGGAGGUCCACCUCCGGCCCCUCACGUCAACCCAGCCUUCUUCCCGCCGCCUGGAAACAACAACAUGCCAUCGUCUGACAGCAGGGGCCCACCGCCGGGUGAACUGUACGGCCGCCCACCUCCAUACGACAGAGACUACGGCCCUGGCGGCAGUAACUUCAGACCCCCUGUAGUAUGUGGCUUUGAGCCCUGGAUAAACGAGGGGUUGGUUGAUGUGAAAAACUCUGGCCAGCACUUGCACAAUACAAGUGAUCAAGGGGACAUGGAUUCGUCUCGCGCUCCUCUGAGUGAAGCUGAGUUUGAGGAGAUCAUGAAUCGUAACAGAGCGAUAUCCAGCAGUGCUAUCUCGAGGGCAGUGUCAGACGCGAGUGCAGCUGAUUAUGGCAGUGCUAUAGAGACUUUGGUGACAGCCAUCUCUCUGAUCAAGCAGUCAAAGGUUUCUGCUGACGACCGCUGCAAAGUUCUCAUCAGCUCACUGCAGGACUGCUUGCAUGGAAUUGAGUCCAAAUCCUAUGGCUCUGUAUCGAGCAGGCGGGAACGGUCCAGGGAGAGGGACCACAGUCGGUCUCGUGAGAAGCAUCGCCGCAAGUCUCGCAGCCGAGACCGACACGAGGACUAUUACAGAGAGCGCAGUCGCGAGAGGGACCGUCAUCGUGAGAGAGACCGUGACCGUGACCGCGAAAGAGACAGAGAACGUGAGCGGGAAUAUCGCCGUUAGUUGAAAAGGAAGGUGUGUAUCCUGUUUGUCUCUGUUUUUGUUUCUCCCCUCUUCCUUCAGGAUUCAGAUGUACACGCAUCUUAUCCUGCAGAGGUCGGGAUCACAGGUACGUGAUCGGAAAAGCGUGAUCUAAGUACUCUGAUCCUUAACUUGUGUACCUGGUCUUGAAGCCAUUUAAUGUGCAGUAUCAGCUCCAGCAACCAUAAACUGUCCCACAAUUGUGUUGAUGAUAUCAGUUUGUCUUUGAAAGGAUUUUGUGUAUUUCAACAUUUUAUUUAAAAUCAAAAUGCAUUUGCAUUUUAAAAUGGAGGUUACUGCACUUAGUUGUCCAUUUAACUGAGAUUUGCUGCUACUUUUGAGACUUCCAAUGUCAAACAACACUUCCCUCCUUAUUUUGCCUAAUUGACUAAUUGUUUGGCAAAAAAAGUAAAUUCAGCAUGUAUUUCAUGCCUUUACAAUUGCGAUUUAUGAAAUAUAAAUUCAACCUGUGACCAUAAAUGUAUAGAAAAUUGGUUGAAGUUUGAUAAGAGAACAUGAAUGUAUUGAAAUGAGCAAAAUUGUUUCUCAGGUUGUGCGUUGACAUUCCUGCAGGCAGAUUUGAUGUUGACAUAAUUGUUGUUCUAGUGUUUAGUUCCUUACUAAUUUGUUGUGAAAAGCAAAUGAAUGGAGUCAAAUUGAUCUGCUUUGGCAUUUAAAAAAAUGAAGCUUGUAGUCUGUCAGGUUGAGUUGUCAUGGUGUAGGCAAAUUUUUUCAUGUGUAAGGUUUAGUCUUGAGCACAUCUGUACAGUAUAAUUUAAGAAAACGCAUUCUGAAUGUCCUGUCAGAACAAGCUAAAUGUAUUUUUACUGUCAAGGGUCAUUUUGUGCAUUCUAGUAUUCCAGUCACAUUUGCAGGUUUUUAAUAGUUUGUCAAACUUUUCCAUCUUUUUCUUAUCUGAAUUUGACAUUUCUCGGUUCACAUCAUAUCGUUAUUCAUUUAUUUUCCAUGUUUGUUAAUGUUACACCCUCUUAGAUGCUGCAGAUGUAGCAGUUCUUCACCAUUUUUAAUGUUUAUGGCUUUAAAUGUAAAAUAAAAAUAGAUCUACAAUGUUAGAGUAACACCAAUUAUGCUCUUCAUUUUAUAUCAUGUCCUUUAAUGCUUAAUGAAUGGAGAAGAACUGCUAUAUUGCUUUUCCAGAGGUAACAUGUGAAAGUUUUUAGCAUUUUUACGCUUUUUUUUUUGUUUUUAUUCUCUUGGUAAACACUCAUGUUUGUGAUGAUUUAAUAUGCAACAGAUAUUUAAUAAAUAUUUUCACAAUCGGUAUUUAAAUUAAUGCACACAUGUCCUCAGUUCAAACCCUGUUGGUCUGAUAUUAGAAACUCUUUACUGUCUAACCUGUUGCUCUAUGGCUCUGCUGUAUGACGGUGUUCCUACAGGCUAAAUUUGUACGUAAAUGUAAAUUUGUAUGUAAAUGCUGAGGACACUGUAAUAUCAUGUGUGAUGCAUUGUGAGUGACCCCACAUAUGCUAGAUUUAGAUGCAAAAAAUACAAAACAGUUAAACUAAAACUGCAACUCCGGUUUAGCAGAUAGAUUGUAAAUGCACAACUGCGUUGUCAGUUUUGUUGAAUGUAAUUCUGGUAGCCUCCAAAUUGUUGUUCUGGCCUCCUAUCCAAAAAAUUGCCAAUUAUUCAGGUGUUUGUUUGUUGUUUUUCUUUUUCUGUGUUCUCAACUGUACAACCUAUAAUUGUAGCAACACCAAUCAGGGAAAGUCAGCAAUGCACAAUUUGCAUUUUGAUUUGUUCCGCUGUUAUUAAUUCAGAAAUCAUGUUGCACUUUUAAUGUUUUUCGCCUAAAGUAUGCGUCAGGUUAGAGCUUUUGAAUGGAGAUUUUAAGCACUGCAAACUUAAAAUAAUUGGAAAGCAUUUGCUCCAUGCGUAGAGCCCUGUUCCAUGGGGUUGAUUGGGAUUUUUGGAUGUAGUGUUCAUCUGCAGAAAUGACUGUGUUCCCAGUUUAUUUGUGGAGGUUUUUCUGAAGUAAUGGUCCUGACGUGGUAUUAAUCCCCUAUUCCUUUGUUUACUAUUGUUUUAUAAGAUGCUGUCACAGGAUUGGACAAACUUGUGUUUUUGUGGUAAUUACAGGUACUAAUUAUUGUACUUCCAAACACAAAAUACACUGUAACAUACUUGGUGAAUUCAGUGCAAGAAUUUCCAUGUGUUCAUGUCUAACUUGCUAAAUAUUUCUGAAAGAUCUUGCAUUAAAAUGGGCUGAAAUACCUGUGAAUGACUAAAGACACAAACUUAUGUUUUAAUAAGAAAUCACGUCUUCGGUAUGUUUUUUUUGUCCAUUUUUCUUGACUAACAGAAAGGCAAAGUACGAUUAGUCGCUGAAUUUUGUCCAACCCUGUGUACUGUAAUUCCAGUGUCCACUGAAUCACUAGAAUCAAGCAAUUUAGUAUGGAACUUUUUUUUUGAUCAACUCUUAGAAAUGUCAUUUCUGUUCAGUAGAAAUGAUGCAUACAAUUGUGAACGGUUGCAUCUUAAAAACAAAUGCUUUUUGCGUUGGGGGUGGAUCGAAUUUGAAAUGUGGAUUUGAUGCUUGUUCUCAGAGGUAAAGUGGACACUAUACUUUGUGCUUCACAAUUUUUGUCAAUGGGGGGGGAUUAAGAGUUAGUAUUUUUCCUAUUGUAGAAAAAAAGAAAAUGCAGGUUAGCAUUUCUAAUUUUGUUCAAUUGAAGUUGAAUAACUAGUUAAAUGCUCUAAAGAAUCUUAAAUGAUUGGAUUAUUGAUUCAUUGAGAUUCGGUAAAAGCCAACAUAUGAUGCUGUUUUUAAAUGUCUGUACCUUGGCAGUUUACCAUGUGGGCUUAUUGCCCAUGAUCGAAGCAUUAUUUUGCCGACAUGAAAUUUGAAUGUUUUUUUGACACCUUUUAGAUGUUGUUUUCCAUUAUAGAUAUGAAGUCUACAAAAUGAGCACUAGUGAGUGAUUUUGAAGUAGAUCACAUCUGCUUAUAUAAUUGAUUUUACCAGUGAAAUUGAUUUUGUGCAGCAAGCAAAAAACUCAAAAUAAUUACUAGUUAACCUUGUUUGAAGCCAUAAGAUAUCAUACAUGUUUUACAUUGACUGAGACAAACCAAUCAACCAAAAUAAUGUCAAUCCGUAUCAUCAUCAUAGGAAUUUUUAUGCAAUUUAAAUUGCAUAUGUCCAUAACCUCUUAUUCUACAGAUCCAACUUAUGCAUGCACUUUUUCUGUACUUCAUUGUAGUGGAAUUGCAGUUUUUCAUCUUCAAUAUAAAUUUUUUUUUUUUUUUUUAACCUCAUCUUGUUCCAAACCUGUAUCAUUUUUUUUAUUGAGCUUUUUGACUAAAAUCUACUUUUAAAAUACAACACUACCAAAUGUAUUUCAAAUCUCACUCAUUCAAAUCCUGUGUUGGUAGUACAGAUGCUGAUUUGUAUGGAUUUGUUUUGGUUGAUUGAUUUCUCAAUGGGACUGAAAGCCAUAUAUUUUCAUAUGACUCUACUAAUGCAUAUUUUGCCAAUUGGUCAACUCGUAUGAAUUACAGUUUUGAUGUGGGGUAUUGUGCAUUUGAAUACUAUAAAUUUGAUCAUUGUCAUGGAUGAGUAAUGGAAAUCAGAUAUGAUUGAUUGCUAAUGUUGAUUUUAAAGAAAUGGUUCAUGCAAAAAUAAAAACAUUGCUGAAAAUUUGCUCACUCUUAAGCCAUCCAGGAUGUAGAUGAGUUUUUCUUCAUCAGAUUUGGAGAAAUCUAGCAUCACUUGCUCAGCAAUGUAUCCUCUGCAGUGAAUGGGUGCCGUCAGAAUGAGAGUCCAAACAGCUGAUAAAAACAUCAAAAUCCACACCUGUGCUUGAUCUGUGCUUAUUUCUCUCCUGAUUCAGACAAAUGAUUUUUUCAUUGGAAGAAGCAAUAUUUCGGAUAGAGGACUUGUUGAAGUGAAAACUCUUAGCCAUGGAAUUGUUUUCGUUUCACAAGAUGUUAACUGAUGGACUGGAGUGGUGUGGAUUAUUGUGAUGUUUUUAUCAGCUGUUUGGACUGUCAUUCUGACAGCACCCAUUCACUGCAGAGAAUCCAUUGCUGAGCAAGUGAUGUAAUGCUACAUUUCUCCAAAUCUGAUGAAGAAACAAACUCCCCUACAUCUGGGAUGUCAAAUUCAGCAAACUUUCAUUCCUGGUUGAACUAUUCCUUUAAUGUCCAGAGUGAAAAUGACGUAUUUGCUGAGUUGUGGUGUUGAGUACAGUGUUUCAUAGUUGUGCAUGCCAAUGUCUUUAUGAUUGUGUCGUCUCUUCACACUGUAUUUAUACACUGAAUCCAGGGGCUUGUCUCAAAUAGUUUUUUUUUUAAUGACUGCACUUAAUGUACUUUUACCAAAUUCUGUGCUUUUGUAAAACUACUACAUUAAAAUAUUGCUUUAGACAAUUACAGUAGUCGUAACGCAACAAUAUAUGCCCCUUAGUUUGAUGCUGUUGAAAACUGAAAGUUGUUUGCAUGCCUGUGUAUGUCUGGGACGGUCUGAGCGUGUGUAGAUGUAGAGGGGAAAAGCAGCUGUGUGUGUUUCUGGGUUCUGUGCCCCAAAACAAACUGCAACCUUCGUUUUGACACCUUUCAGCUGAACGCAAGAGGAGGAGGAGAGACGUCAGGAGCAACGAGGAUUCAUCCGACAGCGUCCCGCAUCGCACCGUCACGGAGAGCACCGGACUCCGGACACACUCUGCAGCGCUGAAGUAGAGUUCUGUAAAAUAUUAUAUACUCACUCUUAAUUCCCGACAGCUCAUUUUUUUAUUUUUUACUUUUAUUUGGAAGUAGCUGUGUGCUAAAGUCAGUUCAGCGAAAGAGAAUUAUUUGCCUGCUUGUUCGAAACACAAAACAACUUUCCCACUGCUAUAAUGUUGUAAAUUGUCAGUUAGCUAGAUUUGUUUUUAUAGGAUCCUCUCUUUUGGUUUCAUGUUUCUUCCAUUUUCCCCUCGUCCAUAUAAUGUUUGUAAGUGUCUUUUUGCCUUGAUUAUUAAAUAGAAUCCGUGUUGUAAUAAAGUGUGUACUUAUUGCUUGUUCAUACUUGAUCUGCUAGUUUAGGUUACUGGGUUAAACAUUUAGCCAGCCAUUGCUUUUUAUUUGUUCAGAAUUGCACAUUUCCAAAACUUGUCCUACUUGGAUAUCAGGAUAAUUGGUUCAAGAACCACAUUUCAGGUUGACAUCUUUACUUUCUAUAAACACUGUGCCAUUGUGCCUUUUCCAGUUUUACUUCAUUUUAAAAGGUUCAAUACAAUAUGGAUUAAUUUGUGUAUUAUCUGUGUUGAGUCCUGUUCAUAUUCCAAAUCAAUUGGCAAUUCAUACAGGGUUAAAUUUUCCAUAACUUUUUUUCAUUGGUUUUCUUGAUUGUGAUUGGAGCUAUACAAUUCAAAUCUGUGAAACCUGCUCAAUUUUGUAGUUUUUGUCAAAAUAAUGAAUCAUUUAUGCUUAGCAAAUUAUAAAAGUACAAAAUAUUCUGCAUUUGUAAUGUCUAUCUGACAUCCCUGUUGCAGAUUGUGUGCAUUGCUUUGUGUAUAUAUCUAAUCUUCAUGUGUGUGUGUGUAUAUAUAUAUAUGUAGGAUUUACUGUAAAUUCUCUCAAAGGGUCUCUUAUGUUUGGUUCUGCUAGAUUUAGAAUUUAAAGGAAUGGUUCACCCAAAAAUGAAAACUUGCUGAAUAUACCCACCCUUCGCGUCCAAGAGUGUUUCUUCAUCAGAUUUGGAGAAAUUUAGCAUCACUUGCUCACCAAUGGAUCCUCUGCAGUGAAUGGGUGCCGUCAGAAUGAAAUUAUUUUGUUUCUUACAAACAUGCAGCUUUUGUCUUCACACAGUGUGGAUUAUUGUGAUGGGGUUUUAUCAGCUGUUUGGACUCUCAUUCUGACGGCACCCAUUCACUGCAGAGGAUCCAUUGGUGAGCAAGUGACGCUAAAUUUCUCCAAAUCUGAUGAAGAAACACACUUUUACCUUUUGGAUGGCCUGAGGGCGAGUAAAUUUUAAGCCGAUUUUCUUUUUCAGGUCACUGUUCCUUUAAGCCUUAAUGCAAAUUUCUUCCACUAAUUCAUUGUACAGAGUUUCCGAUUUUCGUUAUGUAGACGGCUUACGGCAGCUGUUUUUGCUAGUGAUGUAAUAAGCAGUGUUUCCACAUGCAAGUCUGUACUGUAAGGUUAUCUCUGAUUACUGUAAAUAUUCAUGCACUUUAUUUUGAGACUUUGAAGACAGUUGAGAGAUGUACUUCUGGGUAUUUGACACGUGACCUGUGCAUUGGUCACUUUGCAUCUGUUUGAAUGAAAGAUUAAGGGUCAUGUAAACUCAGUUACUCACCUGAGGCCUGUGGGCUUUUAUUGGUGUUUUUGAUGGUUUAUCACUGUAAUUAGAGCAAGUUCAAUGUUGGAGUAAUUCAAGUGGUUCUUCGAGCCGCAUCCUCUGCUAGUGAAGUGGACAGACGUCGAGAUUGUGGGUUCCUGUUCCCUCAUAAACAUCUGGACUGAGAGGUAAGUCCGUUUUGGCUUUCAAAUCUUAUCGGAAUUGGUACACUUGUGCAUUUUGUAGUUGUUUUUGUAGCCCAGAGUAUUGCAGCUUGUUUACAGCUCAAGUUUAUUCAGGUCUUGCUGUUGCCUGACCUCCUCUGAUGCAUUUCCUUUAUUGUUUGUUAAAAUUUGAUGUGGCUCAGUCCACAUAAUUAUUCAUGAUUGAUGUGAGCUACCUGAUGUAUUAUUCAGAUUUACUAUUACAGAAUAUUUUUGCCAAUCAAUAAAUUUUUUUUCACACUA
This is an RNA transcript of Onychostoma macrolepis, 8622 nucleotides long. It is a transcript of the gene named cleavage and polyadenylation specific factor 6, with no coding region annotated. The record is from RefSeq and is a predicted model, not a curated record. Lineage: Eukaryota; Metazoa; Chordata; Actinopteri; Cypriniformes; Cyprinidae. The transcript has 11 exons.